GUUUCACACACAGCGGAGACAAAUUCAAUUCCUCUCGGUGAGGGUUUUAUUACAAAAAUAUAACAAUCUCACGGCCCGGCAAGCUCAACUUUUUAGCUUGCCCUUAGAACCGUAAGCAGCGACAUGGAGAAAAACAAUUCCGAGUUUCAAUAAGUUAAUUGUUUCCCCAAAUAAUUAUCAGAAUUUCAUAGGAACGUAGAAUAAGAUCGUGCUGAAAGACAAUCAAAUUUAUUCCGAAGUCUUUCUCAUCUUUCUCAGGCAGCAUAAAAUCCCUGAUGUCAAUUUCCUGGUCAAAAGCGAAAUUUUGAGGUCACGCUGGACUCUCCAUAUGUAUUACAACUUCCACUGGACAGAUUUUGGAUUAGUUUCAGAAAUUAUUUAGUAGUUAGUUUUGGAAUGGGGCCGAUUUAUUCAAAUUUUGGGAUAAUAUCUGAUUUUAUACAUAAUUGUAUUUCAGAGCUGAUUAAUUUUAACAACUUAAUAAUACACGAUUUUAUCGAGUUAUCACAUAACUGUGUAAUUAAUAACAUGCAUGUACAUAUGUCUUUACCUAUAAAUAUUUAUAUGCAAUAGAUUGCAUUUAUAC
Folsomia candida is the source of this 586-nucleotide long non-coding RNA. RefSeq lists it as uncharacterized. NCBI's taxonomy places the organism in Eukaryota, Metazoa, Arthropoda, Collembola, Entomobryomorpha, Isotomidae. The transcript has 3 exons. The record is from RefSeq and is a predicted model, not a curated record.